UUUUUUAAGACUGAAUAAACUUGAACGAGGAUGAACGCCGAUAUCAGCCGAUAUCGCGAUCGGUAUCUGCGGCUGCUGAAAAAAUCAUGGAGACUCCAUAGAACGCUUAAAUAGUUGAGGUAUAUACACUGGAGCAACUCAAGUGCAUGUGUGACUUUUUGAGAAGAAACCACACAAGGCUGUUGGUUAGCAAUCACCAUGUAAAAGGGUUUGCAGAAACCAGACAGAGAGCCUGUGUGGAGAUGCUAUUGGCUGCCCAGGUCGGACUGCCUCAAACCUGAGGCGGUCUUGGAGUGAUCUAACAAAAGAGUGAAUGAUUAUGCUAGGAAUCAGACAAAGACUGGUGGUAAAGUGAAGCCAAAUAUGGAGAUUGUGCUGGCAGCCAUGAGGGACAAGGCCAAGCAUUGGGUCCAUGGCCAGGAGACAGAGACUGGGGCAUCUGAGCAACUGCUUUCACAUAAGGCAGCCUGCUUCUGGACAUGGGGAAGCCAGAGGAGGAAAAGGAGGUUGAGGCGGAACCUCAAGCUGUUCCCAGGGCACCAUUGACAUCCAGGGUAGAUGGGGUCUAGUUGAUUUUUAGGACACCAAGAUGACACCCAGCAUAAGAGAAGAGAAGGUGCUCUUCCUGUUAUGACCAGCACACCAAGUACCAGGAGCAUGGAUCUGCAGCAAGUUCAGCAGGAGACGCUCAGAAU
Lytechinus pictus (painted urchin) is the source of this 695-nucleotide long non-coding RNA. RefSeq lists it as uncharacterized. Lineage: Eukaryota; Metazoa; Echinodermata; Echinoidea; Temnopleuroida; Toxopneustidae. The transcript has 5 exons. The record is from RefSeq and is a predicted model, not a curated record.